UAACUGUUCAUCGGCUUAUGAACAGUACCGGCUGCAGCCGAGCCGGUCGUAGCUGAAAAGACGAUGUUGUCCCUGCUUCAUCUCUCUUGCCCGACACCUGUUUAUCGUUUCAAAGCUUUCGUGUCUCUGUUCUUUGCUUCACAGUGUGUUUCUCUUGCUUUGACACCUGGGUGCUGCUAUCGUGUCUAUGAUACCUCACUCCACCGAAAGGUAGAUAGAUAGAGAGCUUCAGUUUGAGAGAGAAAUAGCGCGAGAGAAAGAGAGAGCGAGAGAGAGAGAACUGGAGGCUGCGUUCUAACCUGGGUUUGGAUUUUGUGGAUUUCUUUUCAGCAAAAGGGUCCAUCCAUUUGCAAUUGUCAUGACUCAUUACUGAAACAGAAAGAGGAAGAGAAUAGGAGUUUACGGUUGUGAAAUUGGGUUUGUCAGAGGGUUGGGUGUAUGUGAUUAGUGAGGCUGUUUCUUAGUGGUGCUUCAUCAAGGGAGGCUCGACUUCAAAGCUGGUUAUCAGAAGUUCUUUAAGGUUUCACAUGCUACUGUUGUAAGAAAUUGGUCUGCAAGGUCUGAAGAGAAGGAGAAGGUUGAAUCUGUAAAUCAAGAUAUCAGUAACAGCGAGCUAUCAAAAUUUGCAAGUAUUUUGAAUUGAGGAAAAUUUGGGUACAGCAAGAAGGAAGAUCUGGAAUUACUAUUAUUUUACAGUAAUCAGGAAACUGGGAAAGGAGAUGAAAUAGCUUCUGACCUUGACAAUAACACAGCAUAUAAAGAGCAAGCAAAGGCAAAGAUCAUUUUGCCUUACUGGGGAAAGUUAUGGAAGUAAGGGAGAAGUCAGUCAAUGCAACAGAGAAGUCAGCAGAAGAGCGAAAAUCACAAACCUAGAGGCAGCUAGAGGAACAAUUGGAAAGAGGAUAGUAUCUGGAUUAACUCGAAAAUUCCAUUUAACAGCAUGAGAAGCAUGCUAAGGCGUUGCAGAAGCUGUUAGAAGAGAGGAAGAAGCAUUUGGAAUCGGUUUCCAAGAGAGCAAGCUUGAACAUGAUGUCAGACAAAUUGAAUUGCAGCUAUUGGAGAAUGACGCUCCUGCUGUUAAUGAUAGAGGCUUGCAGCUGAAAAUGAGUGAGCAAUUCAUGAAGAAAGGCAAUUAUUUUGAGCAGCAGAUGAAUGACAACCAAAAAGAUGAAGUGAUUUGCGAGAGAAGCAAAAAGAUGAAGUGGUCUGCCAGUGAUAUGAUGGAGGAAAUACCUUUUUGAACAACCUCCACAACUAAUUAGCACCUUUUUGGCUAGGCUAACAAGUCUUCAACAACUGCUGUCACUUUUGCUAUAAAUAUAACUGGAGGAAGCACCAUUUUGAAGAACCUCCGCUGACAUGUAGUGACGAACAUCAACACCUCUUUUCAGCAAACAGAUCAAAUGUAGCUAGGUUAGCCUAGAAAUAGAACAAUAUAUUUUUGACAAGCUGUGUCAACAACAGUUGUAUUGUAUAUUUGCACAUUAUCAGAACAUUCACAUUAAUGGUAAUGUUAGUUGCAAACAUAAA
Long non-coding RNA from Rosa rugosa (rugosa rose), 1530 nucleotides. RefSeq lists it as uncharacterized. The transcript is spliced from 9 exons. NCBI's taxonomy places the organism in Eukaryota, Viridiplantae, Streptophyta, Magnoliopsida, Rosales, Rosaceae. The record is from RefSeq and is a predicted model, not a curated record.